UACGGAGGAUGCGAGCGUUAUCCGGAUUUAUUGGGUUUAAAGGGUGCGUAGGCAGACGCUUAAGUCAGCGGUAAAAUUGCGGGGCUCAACCUCGUCGAGCCGUUGAAACUGGGUGCCUUGAGUGGGCGAGAAGUACGCGGAAUGCGUGGUGUAGCGGUGAAAUGCAUAGAUAUCACGCAGAACUCCGAUUGCGAAGGCAGCGUACCGGCGCCCUACUGACGCUGAAGCACGAAGGCGUGGGUAUCGAACAGG
RNAcentral lists this ribosomal RNA (252 nucleotides) under uncultured bacterium. RNAcentral's name for it is "partial 16S ribosomal RNA". It matches the Rfam family "Bacterial small subunit ribosomal RNA", at positions 524 to 776 of the family's 1533-position model. The record is from RNAcentral.